GACGAACGCUGGCGGCGUGCUUAACACAUGCAAGUCGAACGGAAAGGCCCUGCUUAUGUGGGGUGCUCGAGUGGAGAAGGGGUGAGUAACACGUGAGUAACCAGUCAUUGCCUUUGGGAUAACCUCAGGAAACUGGGGCUAAUAACGGAUAGGAGCUACUGCUGCAUGGUGGGGGCUGGAAAGUUUAGGCGGUUGGGGAUGGACUGGCGGACUAUCAGCUUGUUGGUGGGGUAGUGGCAUACCAAGGCUUGGACGGGUAGCCGGCCUGCUAGGAUGACCGGACACAUUGGGACUGAGAUACGGCCCAGACUCGUACGGGAGGCAGCGGUGGGGAAUAUUGCACAGUGGGCGGAAGCAUGAUGCAGCAACGCCGCGUGCGGUAUGACAGCCUUCGGGUUGUGAACCGCUUUCGCCUGUGACGAAGCGUUAGUGACGGUAACGGGUGAAGAAGCACCGGCUAACUACGUG
RNAcentral lists this ribosomal RNA (468 nucleotides) under uncultured bacterium. RNAcentral's name for it is "partial 16S ribosomal RNA". It matches the Rfam family "Bacterial small subunit ribosomal RNA", at positions 28 to 507 of the family's 1533-position model. The record is from RNAcentral.